GCGGCGCUGUUUUUUCACCGGGCUACCCGUGUCGAGACGCCGACACACGACCAACUAUCCCAAACAAGCGCCCGCCGGGCUCCGGCGUGCUGCUUCAGACAGAGUCCAGAGCCUGCCGUCGUUUUCAGCUUUCACCGCUCCCAUCGAUGGAUUCCCGGCGAUCGCACCGUCGCCUGCCUGCGUCUCCUCCCCUGUCACGGCCCGCCCGCCAAUCGCGCGUAUUUUGGCAGCCGCGCCGCGACGCGACGCGACGCCGACCACUGGCUGCCUGCCCCGCGUCGUCUCGGCCCGGUUUUUUUUUCCAUCCAAGUGGGUCGCAGAAUCUACUCGUCCGUCCGCGCACGAUCCCCGCGUCCGUAUUUCCUGUUUUGACCAGGAUUUUGUGCUGAUGCAUCCGUUGUAUGAGUAGUAGGUUCUAUGCGUUGGUGUCGACAGACAAAACUACUGCGAGUUUGGUAAAAGGGAUCUUUC
Molecule: long non-coding RNA, 471 nt
Filed under: Zea mays
Lineage: Eukaryota; Viridiplantae; Streptophyta; Magnoliopsida; Poales; Poaceae
Description: long non-coding RNA NONZMAT004550
Source: RNAcentral